UGAGGAAUAUUGGGCAAUGGACGCAAGUCUGACCCAGCAACGCCGCGUGAAGGAUGAAUGUCGUAAGAUUGUAAACUUCUGUGAGAAGGGACGAAAAAACAGGCUCAUACCCUGUUCUGACGGUACCUUCAGAGGAAGCCCCGGCUAACUACGUGCCAGCAGCCGCGGUAAUACGUAGGGGGCUAGCGUUGUCCGGAUUUACUGGGUGUAAAGGGCGCGUAGGUGGACUUGUCAGUCAGAGGUGAAACCCUGCAGCUUAACUGCAGAACUGCCUUUGAUACUGCAAGCCUUGAGUCUAGAAGAGAAAAGCGGAAUUCCAGGUGUAGUGGUGAAAUACGUAGAUAUCUGGAAGAACACCAGUUGCGAAGGCGGCUUUUUGGUCUAGAACUGACACUGAGGCGCGAAAGCGUGGGUAGCAAACAGGAUUAGAUACCCUGGUAGUCCACGCUGUAAACUAUGAAUACUAGAUGUUGGCCUUUUGGCCAGCGUCGAAGCUAACGCAUUAAGUAUUCCACC
RNAcentral lists this ribosomal RNA (516 nucleotides) under bacterium enrichment culture. RNAcentral describes it as "bacterial SSU rRNA". It matches the Rfam family "Bacterial small subunit ribosomal RNA", at positions 355 to 873 of the family's 1533-position model. The record is from RNAcentral.